Molecule: ribosomal RNA, 366 nt
Filed under: Escherichia coli
Lineage: Bacteria; Pseudomonadati; Pseudomonadota; Gammaproteobacteria; Enterobacterales; Enterobacteriaceae
Description: bacterial SSU rRNA
Rfam family: Bacterial small subunit ribosomal RNA
Source: RNAcentral
UUAAUUGAAGAGUUUGAUCAUGGCUCAGAUUGAACGCUGGCGGCAGGCCUAACACAUGCAAGUCGAGCGGUAACAGGAGAAAGCUUGCUUUCUUGCUGACGAGCGGCGGACGGGUGAGUAAUGUAUGGGGAUCUGCCCGAUAGAGGGGGAUAACUACUGGAAACGGUGGCUAAUACCGCAUAAUGUCUACGGACCAAAGCAGGGGCUCUUCGGACCUUGCACUAUCGGAUGAACCCAUAUGGGAUUAGCUAGUAGGUGGGGUAAAGGCUCACCUAGGCGACGAUCUCUAGCUGGUCUGAGAGGAUGAUCAGCCACACUGGGACUGAGACACGGCCCAGACUCCUACGGGAGGCAGCAGUGGGGAAU